This 456-nucleotide ribosomal RNA is filed under the name Triticum aestivum (bread wheat). Its description in RNAcentral is "partial small subunit ribosomal RNA". Lineage: Eukaryota; Viridiplantae; Streptophyta; Magnoliopsida; Poales; Poaceae. The record is from RNAcentral.
AUGCAAUCCAACGACACACAUAUGCGAAUUGGAGACAUCAGAAGAUUAGAGAACUGCCAGAAACAAGACCUACUCACUUUGCAGCUUCGCACGAGGUGCCUCUUCCACUGCUUGACAAACGAGAAUUCACUCAAGACUGCCAAGUUUUACAAACUGCUCUGGCCUGGCGGUGAGACCGUUGCCUUCGACACUUUUUCAUCUGGAGCAGAUGUGUGUCAACCCACGUCCAAUUCCUUGUGGUCAUGCUCGUGUCUACACAAGGAGACUGAAUGCUCUGGAAUGGGAUUGUCAAAAAAGAGGAGGUCAGGUGCCUUCUCUACCUUGGGAACGGACAAUCAGCUAGCUUCACCCACCCGCCUUGGCCGCUUUAGUGUCCUAUUGGGGUGUGACUCCGGCUUCAACCUUGCAAUUGCAAGUCAUUAUCACCGGAGAUGUACCAUCUUUUGUUGUGUAUGA